This is a long non-coding RNA of Ictalurus punctatus (channel catfish), 1028 nucleotides long. NCBI's taxonomy places the organism in Eukaryota, Metazoa, Chordata, Actinopteri, Siluriformes, Ictaluridae. The record is from Ensembl.
CAGGAAGACUGAUGAAGAGUGAUGAAAAACAUGCACACGUUUUAAAUGAAAUCAAUUAAAUGAUGAUUUUUUUGGAGACCGCAGCAGAGAUGAGCUGUCAUCUCCCAGACUUGCACUUGAGUUUCAAUUUACGGACUGAAGACCGGACAUUCUCCUUUAGGAUUUUCUGGUAGAGAGCAGAAUUCACGUUUCCCUCAAUCAUUGCAAGUUGACCAGACCCUGAAGCAGCAAAGCAUCCCCACACCAUCACACUUCCUCCUCCUGGAAUUCUGUGGUUGGUUUACGCCAGAUAUAACGGGACGCCUGUCUUCCAAACAGUCCACAUUCGACUCCUCAGUCCACAGAACAUUCUCCCAAAAGGUUUGAGGAUCAUCAAGGUGUGUUGUGGCAAAAUUUAGAUGAGCCUUAAUGUUCUUCUGGGUUAGCAGUACUUUUCACCUCACCACUCUUUCACGGAUGUCAUUUUUGCCCAGUGUCUAUCUGAUAGUGGAGUCAUGAACAGUGACCUUUAUUGAUGCAAGAGAGGCCUGUAAUUCCUUUGAUGUUAUCCUUGGCUUUUUGUGAUUUCCUGGAUGAGUCGUCGCCGUGCUCUUGGAGGAAUUUUGGAAGGUCGGCCCCUUCUGGGAAGGUUCACUACUGUGCUAUUUUUCCAUUUGGAGAUAACGGCUCUCACUGUGGUUCUCUGGAGUCCCAGAGCCUUUGAAAUAGUUUUGUAACCCUUCCCAGACUGAUGUAUUCAAUCACCUUCUUCCUCAUCAUUUCUGGAAUUUCUUUCUACUUUGACAUAGUGUGUUACCAGGUAAGACCUUUUAACAAACUUUAUACUGUUGAAAAAGUUCUAUUUAAGUGUUGAUUUGAUUGAACAGGGUUUGCAGUAAUCAGGCCUGGUUGUGUCUAGUGCAGCUAAACCACAUUAUGAAUGCAGUUUCAUAGAUUUCAGGAAUUAAUAACUACAGGGGCAAAUAUAUUUUCACACAGGCCCAGGUGGUACUGGAUAACUUUUUUUUGCUUCAAUAAAUAACAUUAUU